CAUCAAGCUGUUCGCAACCUCAAAAUAAUAGGGGUCAAGGUCGGCCAGUGAGACGAUGGGGGAUAAGCUUCAUCGUCGAGAGGGAAAGAGCCCGGAUCACCAGCUAAGGCCCUAAAUGACCGCUCAGUGAUAAAGGAGGUAGGGGUGCAGAGACAGCCAUGAGGUUUGCCUAGAAGCAACCACACUUGAAAGAGUGCGUAAUAGCUCACUGAUCGAGCGCUCUUGUGCCGAAGGAAAUGCGUAAUAGCCAGGAGGUUUGCCUAGAAGCAACCACACUUGAAAGGUUUGCCUAGAUG
This 296-nucleotide long non-coding RNA is filed under the name Helianthus annuus (common sunflower). Its description in RNAcentral is "Archaeal large subunit ribosomal RNA". It matches the Rfam family "Bacterial large subunit ribosomal RNA", at positions 937 to 1234 of the family's 2925-position model. The record is from RNAcentral. Lineage: Eukaryota; Viridiplantae; Streptophyta; Magnoliopsida; Asterales; Asteraceae.